AUGAAAGAGGUAGAUAAUCUCGAAAGUAUAAAAGAAGAUGGGUUUGUGAAACAGUAUCUGACAAUCAAUCUCUCAGUGAUAAUCAACAAAUUGUGAAUAUUUUGUUGAUAGCCUUUUUGAAGAAGCUCAGAAGGUUGGCUCCAACUGCUUGUCUCCCACUGAACAGAAAAAGCAGGUGGAUGUAAAUAUGAAAGUAUGGAAAAUGAAAUCACAGUCAGUGAUGAUUUCCCAACAGUGCAAGUCAGCAAUUUUUGAACUCCAUCAAAAAAAGGGGAAUUACCUUCAGAAUUACAGAGAAGUUUUUAUAAAGAGGUGAAUGUUUAAGUUGAAGACCAGAUAAAUGAAAUAUGUAUGUCUACGCAGCCUGAGUUCCAGCCCUUUUCAAGACAGAGUCACAGACUAGGAAGUGCCACAGCAAAAUUGUUUCUAAAGCAAAGAGUAUUGAAAUUAAAAAUAAAAGUAAUUUGUCUGCUGUUCUGCUGAACAACUUGGAACGUACUAAUAUACAGAUCUGGUUAGCCAAGGAUUGUCCAGAAAUUUAACAUUUCUCACAGGGUAAGCCAUAUAAAGUCUUCAUUAAAAAAACCAGGGAUCUCAAAGAAGUCUCCCCUUUUCCCUCCUGCAAAUUCAACCAAGUAGUUGUUUCCCUGACAGCUUCUGUGCCAGAUGAGGUCUUUGCUAGAGCAGACGAAUAUUUCUUCACGUACAUGGCACAAAGGCAUUGCUUUGGUGAAUGGAAAUGAGU
RNAcentral lists this long non-coding RNA (745 nucleotides) under Homo sapiens (human). Its description in RNAcentral is "non-protein coding lnc-UGT2B15-3:1". The record is from RNAcentral. Lineage: Eukaryota; Metazoa; Chordata; Mammalia; Primates; Hominidae.